RNAcentral lists this ribosomal RNA (492 nucleotides) under uncultured bacterium. RNAcentral describes it as "partial 16S ribosomal RNA". It matches the Rfam family "Bacterial small subunit ribosomal RNA", at positions 29 to 507 of the family's 1533-position model. The record is from RNAcentral.
AGUGAACGCUGGCGGUAUGCCUAACACAUGCAAGUCGAACGGCAGCACAGUAAGCGCUUGCUCUUACUGUUGGCGAGUGGCGGGCGGGUGACGCAUACAUCGCAAUCUACUUUUUCGUGGGUGAUAUCGUAGGGCAACUUACACUACUACCUCAUACUUCCUACGGCUUAGAGCAGGAGAUCUUCACACCUUUCCCGUCUCAUUUAGCCGAUGUCGGAUUAGCUAGUUGGCGGGGUAAAGGCCCACCAAGGCGACGAUCCGUAGCUGGUCUGAGAGGAUGAUCAGCCACACUGGAACUGAGACACGGUCCAGACUCCUACGGGAGGCAGCAGUGGGGAAUAUUGGACAAUGGGCGCAAGCCUGAUCGAGCCAUACCGCGUGGGUGAAGAAGGCCUUCGGGUUGUAAAGCCCUUUUGUUGGGAAAGAAAAGCAGCAGGUUAAUACCCCGCUGUUCUGACGGUACCCAAAGAAUAAGCACCGGCUAACUUCGUG